AAAUAAGCAAAACUUAGGAGAAAUUUUGUGACACAGGUUGAGCUAUGUCGUGUUCCAAUGAGAUUCUUUAAGCCAGGUGAAAAGCUGUGUUAUGCGUUCUACAAGUAUGGGACGAAAGUGCUAGGUGGGAUAGUGCAUGCUAUGCUGCAUGAGUAUGUCUAAUCCAUGAUUUUGUCUCUGGAACGAAAGAGUGGACCUGACUGUAUGGGCGGCUGUAGGAAGCGUAUGAUGAACAUGCCUGGAAUAUAAAUGAGACAGUUGUCGGCAGGGAUGUAUACCCCCGUCUGGUACAUGAAAGUGAAAUGUGAUAAGUGGCCAACCAAGUGAGUUCCCCAGAAACAUCAUGAACUUAUGGAUGAGUAGUGGCGUUUGUUGAUGAUAUGAUAUGUGCUUAGUUGUCUGAGUAACAACGGAUUGAUGACCCUGACCAUGAUUUACCCCAU
Molecule: non-coding RNA, 443 nt
Organism: Pelobates cultripes (western spadefoot toad)
Lineage: Eukaryota; Metazoa; Chordata; Amphibia; Anura; Pelobatidae
Source: the annotation of a GenBank genome assembly